GGGGAUCGUAAGACCUCGCGUUAUUGGAGCGGCCGAUGCCGGAUUAGCUAGUUGGUGGGGUAAAGGCUCACCAAGGCGACGAUCCGUAGCUGGUCUGAGAGGACGACCAGCCACACUGGGACUGAGACACGGCCCAGACUCCUACGGGAGGCAGCAGUGGGGAAUUUUGGACAAUGGGCGCAAGCCUGAUCCAGCCAUGCCGCGUGAGUGAAGAAGGCCUUCGGGUUGUAAAGCUCUUUCGCAAGGAAAGAAAACUUACCUACUAAUACUAGGUGAGGUUGACGGUACCUUCAUAAGAAGCACCGGCUAACUACGUGCCAGCAGCCGCGGUAAUACGUAGGGUGCGAGCGUUAAUCGGAAUUA
RNAcentral lists this ribosomal RNA (363 nucleotides) under uncultured bacterium. RNAcentral describes it as "SSU rRNA". It matches the Rfam family "Bacterial small subunit ribosomal RNA", at positions 195 to 553 of the family's 1533-position model. The record is from RNAcentral.